GAUGAACGCUGGCGGCGUGCCUAAUACAUGCAAGUAGAACGCUGAAGGAGGAGCUUGCUCUUCUGGAUGAGUUGCGAACGGGUGAGUAACGCGUAGGUAACCUGCCUGGUAGCGGGGGAUAACUAUUGGAAACGAUAGCUAAUACCGCAUGACAACAGUUAUUGCAUGAUAACUGUUUAAAAGGGGCAACUGCUCCACUACCAGAUGGACCUGCGUUGUAUUAGCUAGUUGGUGAGGUAACGGCUCACCAAGGCGACGAUACAUAGCCGACCUGAGAGGGUGAUCGGCCACGCUGGGACUGAGACACGGCCCAGACCCCUACGGGAGGCAGCAGUAGGGAAUCUUCGGCAAUGGACGGAAGUCUGACCGAGCAACGCCGCGUGAGUGAAGAAGGUUUUCGGAUCGUAAAGCUCUGUUGUAAGAGAAGAACGAGUGUGAGAGUGGAAAGUUCACACUGUGACGGUAUCUUACCAGAAAGGGACGGCUAACUACGUG
Molecule: ribosomal RNA, 495 nt
Filed under: uncultured bacterium
Lineage: Bacteria
Description: partial 16S ribosomal RNA
Rfam family: Bacterial small subunit ribosomal RNA
Source: RNAcentral